Long non-coding RNA from Homo sapiens (human), 462 nucleotides. The record is from Ensembl. Lineage: Eukaryota; Metazoa; Chordata; Mammalia; Primates; Hominidae.
AAAUUAUCACAGGAGCAUGAACCCUAUUGUGAAGUACGCAUGCAAGGGAUCUAGGUUGCAUUCUCCUUAUGAGAAUCUAAUGCCUGAUGACCUGGCAUUGUCUCCCAUCACCCUAGAUGGGACUGUCUAGUUGCAAGAAAACAAGCUCGGGGCUCCCCCUGAUUCUACAUUAUGUUACAGCAAUAGGUAACUGGAAUUCAACUGCUGGACUAUACCAAAGACUGCCAGGCCAGCCUACCUUUCUCACAGCCUUCUUGACUACCUGUCUUGGAUGAGCUCACUGAAAGCCCACAUACCUUCAUUCUAGCAUUUCCUCAGUCUGGUUGAGCUGCUUUGGAGGUAAUACAGGUUGUAGGACUUCCCUCCACUCCUGCUCAGGACCGUUUUCAGCAGGCUAAUCAGACAGCAGUUGGCACUGAGUACAACUGGAGAAAUGUUAUCAGCACUGAAGACUGCUCCAGC